Molecule: transfer RNA, 75 nt
Filed under: Coriobacteriia bacterium
Lineage: Bacteria; Bacillati; Actinomycetota; Coriobacteriia
Description: tRNA-Val
Rfam family: tRNA
About the family: Transfer RNA (tRNA) molecules are approximately 80 nucleotides in length. Their secondary structure includes four short double-helical elements and three loops (D, anti-codon, and T loops).
Source: RNAcentral
GGGCGAUUGGCGCAACGGGAGCGCAGGUCCCUUACAAGGACAAGGUUACAGGUUCAAAUCCUGUAUCGCCCACCA